This 892-nucleotide ribosomal RNA is filed under the name uncultured bacterium. RNAcentral's name for it is "bacterial SSU rRNA". It matches the Rfam family "Bacterial small subunit ribosomal RNA", at positions 8 to 916 of the family's 1533-position model. The record is from RNAcentral.
AGAGUUUGAUCAUGGCUCAGGACAAACGCUGGCGGCGUGCAUAAAACAUGCAAGUCGAACGGACUUCAGUCCGCAAGGACUGAAGUGAGUGGCGAGCGGCUGAGUAACACGUAGGUGACCUGCCCCGAAGUUUGGGAUAACAACUCGAAAGAGUUGCUAAUACCGGAUGUGACCACCGAUUCAUUUCGGUGCUUAAAGUCGCAAGACGCUUUGGGAGGGGCCUGCGGCGGAUUAGCUAGUUGGUGUGGUAACGGCAUACCAAGGCUUCGAUCCGUAGCUGGUCUGAGAGGAUGGCCAGCCAGACUGGGACUGAGACACGGCCCAGACUCCUACGGGAGGCAGCAGUUAGGAAUUUUGCGCAAUGGAGGAAACUCUGACGCAGCCACGCCGCGUGGGGGAUGAAGGCCUUCGGGUCGUAAACCUCUUUUCUCAGGGAAGACACCCGACGGUACCUGAGGAAUAAGCAACGGCUAACUACGUGCCAGCAGCCGCGGUAAUACGUAGGUUGCGAGCGUUGUCCGGAUUUACUGGGCGUAAAGCGCGCGCAGGUGGUCCUGAAAGUCGAGCGUGAAAGCUCCCGGCCCAACUGGGAGAGGCCGUUCGAAACUUCAGGACUUGAAGGCGGGAGAGGCAAAUGGAAUUUCCGGUGUAGCGGUAAAAUGCGUAGAUACCGGAAGGAACACCAGUGGCGAAAGCGAUUUGCUGGCCCGCCCUUGACACUCAGGCGCGAAAGCUAGGGGAGCGACCGGGAUUAGAUACCCCGUUAGUCCUAGCCGUAAACAAUGGGCACUAGGUGUUGUCGGUAUCGACCCCGGCAGUGCCGUAGCUAACGCAUUAAGUGCCCCGCCUGGGGAGUACGACCGCAAGGUUUAAAACUCAAAGGAAUUGACGG